UACGUAGGGUGCAGGCGUUAAUCGGAAUUACUGGGCGUAAAGCGUGCGCAGGCGGUCUGCUAAGCGAGAUGUGAAAUCCCCAGGCUCAACCUGGGAACUGCGUCUGAUACUGGAUGGCUUGAAUCCGGGAGAGGGAUGCAGAAUUCCAGGUGUAGCGGUGAAAUGCGUAGAUAUCUGGAGGAAUACCGGUGGCGAAGGCGGCAUCCUGGACCGGCAUUGACGCUGAGGAGCGAAAGCCAGGGGAGCAAACGGG
Molecule: ribosomal RNA, 253 nt
Filed under: uncultured bacterium
Lineage: Bacteria
Description: partial 16S ribosomal RNA
Rfam family: Bacterial small subunit ribosomal RNA
Source: RNAcentral